This 370-nucleotide ribosomal RNA is filed under the name Rozellomycota sp. Its description in RNAcentral is "Cryptomycota sp. partial small subunit ribosomal RNA". It matches the Rfam family "Eukaryotic small subunit ribosomal RNA", at positions 582 to 975 of the family's 1831-position model. Lineage: Eukaryota; Fungi; Rozellomycota. The record is from RNAcentral.
AUUCCAGCUCCAAUAGCGUAUAUUAAAGUUGUUGCAGUUAAAAAGCUCGUAGUUGAACCUUGGACAAAGUGCGCGUGGUCUACCGCAAGGUAUGACUGCGGCGCUGCGUCUCUUUAGGGGGACUCGAUGCUUCGGUGUCGAGGUAACCCGUGUUACUGUGAAGAAAUUAGAGUGUUUAAAGCAGGCUAUCGCUUGAAUACAUCAGCAUGGAAUAACAAGUUGGACUUUGCUCCUACUUGCUGGUUUGAGGGGAAAAGUAAUGAUUAAUAGGGCCAGUUGGGGGCAUUAGUAUUCAGUAGUCAGAGGUGAAAUUCUUGGAUUUACUGAAGACUAACUAGUGCGAAAGCAUUUGCCAAGGAUGUUUUCAUCG